Molecule: ribosomal RNA, 253 nt
Filed under: uncultured bacterium
Lineage: Bacteria
Description: partial 16S ribosomal RNA
Rfam family: Bacterial small subunit ribosomal RNA
Source: RNAcentral
UACAGAGGUGGCAAGCGUUGUUCGGAGUUACUGGGCGUAAAGGGUGCGCAGGCGGUGGAGCAAGUCUGUUGUGAAAUCUCCCGGCUUAACCGGGAGGGUGCGGCGGAAACUGUUCUGCUGGAGUGAGGGAGAGGCAAGCGGAAUUCCUGGUGUAGCGGUGAAAUGCGUAGAUAUCAGGAGGAACACCCGUGGUGCAGACGGCUUGCUGGACCUCCACUGACGCUGAGGCACGAAAGCGUGGGGAGCAAACAGG